AACGUACGCCUGGCGGCACGCCUAACACAUGCAAGUCGAACGAAGUAGCAAUACUUAGUGGCAGACGGGUGAGUAACAUGUAGGUAUCUGCCCUUUGGCCUGGAAUAACACGAGGAAACUUGUGCUAAUACCGGAUAAGUCUUUACGGAGAAAGCUUUAUGCACCAUUGGAUGAGCCUGCACUUGAUUAGUUUGUUGGUGGGGUAAUGGCCUACCAAGACUGUGAUCAAUAGCUGAUUUGAGAGGAUGAUCAGCCACAUUGGGACUGAGACACGGCCCAAACUCCUACGGGAGGCAGCAGUGGGGAAUCUUGCACAAUGGAGGAAACUCUGAUGCAGCGAUGCCGCGUGAGUGAAGAAGGCCCUUGGGUUGUAAAGCUCUUUCGUCGGGGAAGAAAAUGACUGUACCCGAAUAAGAAGGUCCGGCUAACUUCGUGCCAGCAGCCGCGGUAAUACGAAGGGACCUAGCGUAGUUCGGAAUUACUGGGCUUAAAGAGUUCGUAGGUGGUUGAAAAAGUUAGUGGUGAAAUCCCAGAGCUUAACUCUGGAACUGCCAUUAAAACUUUUCAGCUAGAGUAUGAUAGAGGAAAGCAGAAUUUCUAGUGUAGAGGUGAAAUUCGUAGAUAUUAGAAAGAAUACCAAUUGCGAAGGCAGCUUUCUGGAUCAUUACUGACACUGAGGAACGAAAGCAUGGGUAGCGAAGAGGAUUAGAUACCCUCGUAGUCCAUGCCGUAAACGAUGUGUGUUAGACGUUGGAAAUUUAUUUUCAGUGUCGCAGGGAAACCGAUAAACACACCGCCUGGGGAGUACGACCGCAAGGUUAAAACUCAAAUGAAUUGGCGGGGACCCGCACAAGUAGUGGAGCAUGUGGUUUAAUUCGAAGAUACGCGCAGAACCUUACCAACACUUGACAUGUUCGUCGCGACUCUAAGAGAUUAGAGUUUUCGGUUCGGCCGGACGAAACACAGGUGCUGCAUGGCUGUCGUCAGCUCGUGUCGUGAGAUGUUGGGUUAAGUCCCGCAACGAGCGCAACCCUCACUUUUAGUUGCCAUCAUUUAGUUGGGCACUCUGAAAGAACUGCCAGUGAUAAGCUGGAGGAAGGUGGGGAUGACGUCAAGUCCUCAUGGCCCUUACGUGUUGGGCUACACACGUGCUACAAUGGUAUCUACAACAGGAAGCAAGACUGCGAAGUUAAGCAAAUCCCUAAAAGAUACCUCAGUUCGGAUUGCACUCUGCGACUCGAGUGCAUGAAGCUGGAAUUACUAGUAAUCGUGGAUCAGCGUGCCACGGUGAAUGCGUUCCCGGGUCU
This 1307-nucleotide ribosomal RNA is filed under the name uncultured bacterium. Its description in RNAcentral is "bacterial SSU rRNA". It matches the Rfam family "Bacterial small subunit ribosomal RNA", at positions 28 to 1381 of the family's 1533-position model. The record is from RNAcentral.